UGGGGAAUUGUUCACAAUGGGCGCAAGCCUGAUGACGCAACGCCGCGUGGAGGAUGAAGGUCUUCGGAUUGUAAACUCCUGUUGCUCGGGACGAAAAGCUCUGACCUAACACGUUAGAGUCUGACGGUACCGAGUGAGGAAGCCCCGGCUAACUCUGUGCCAGCAGCCGCGGUAAUACAGAGGGGGCAAGCGUUGUUCGGAAUUACUGGGCGUAAAGGGCGCGUAGGCGGCCCUCUAAGUCAGACGUGAAAUCCCCGGGCUCAACCCGGGAACUGCGUCUGAUACUGGAGGGCUUGAAUCCGGGAGAGGGAUGCGGAAUACCAGGUGUAGCGGUGAAAUGCGUAGAUAUCUGGAGGAACACCGGUGGCGAAGGCGGCAUCCUGGACCGGUAUUGACGCUGAGGCGCGAAAGCCAGGGGAGCAAACGGGAUU
This 431-nucleotide ribosomal RNA is filed under the name uncultured bacterium. RNAcentral's name for it is "bacterial SSU rRNA". It matches the Rfam family "Bacterial small subunit ribosomal RNA", at positions 355 to 779 of the family's 1533-position model. The record is from RNAcentral.